AAAGAGAAGCUAACAAAGGAAACCCUCUUCAAAAAAUGGGAUUUCCUUGGCCUUAGCAGUUCUGGUGUGUGCAUUGCCAACACUAGGUAGGAAGAAUUUGGCUGAAUGUUUGUGACUAAAUAGCGGCCUGGCUCAAACCUCCCAAAGAGAGGGAAUUCACCAUGCGUUCCACAGUUUUAUUCUGAGGAAGAAGCUAACAGAAACAGAAUUUUAGAGCCUUAGAGCUCUCAUUACAAAAUGUCCCUCACUGUAAGUGGUGCAUACUGAGCCCAGUUUAGAUGUAUGUACUGAGCCCAGUACAAAUGUAUGUACUGAGCCCAGAGCUAUUCGGCCUAUUGGUGCUGGGGUGAUUAGGAUUAGAUGACGACACCUCCAAUGAGUUAGUCUGUGAUGCUGUGUCCUAGAUUGUGCUCAGGAUUAAAGACCUGAUUAAAAGACCUUUUUGACUGAAGAAUGUUCUUAAACCUGAGCAUCCAAUCAGCUUUAAACGAGUUGCAAUUAAUCAUAAUGCUAUGUGUUCAUUGUUAAUUGCAGAUGAAAUGCCAGUGUUGAUAGAAAUUACCUCUAAAGCCUUGAUUCUGGAAGAAGCUAGAGAAAUGGCUCUUGGGGUUCUAAUACUGACAUUUCUUUGGUGACUGGUUCCCAUGAAUGACCUCAACUUCCACUGAAAUCCACAAGAAAACCAAAAAAUGCAAACCACAAGCCUGAAUAUUUCUGCAAAUUACCUGUGUCUUGAACAGUUUGGAUACGUGCUUGAUCUUUUGUGGCAAUGUAAUACUAGUGCCAGGACUCCACUUGUGGUAUCACUUUUAAGUGAGGCCACAUGGUGCCAUUUAGAGAUUCAGCAAAUUCUCACAUGUUCCAUCUGCCGUGCAUUGUUACAGGUUUUGAGUCUAGAACCACAAAAACAAAAGACAAAAAACUCUGUCCUUGUGGACUUUGUUUCUAAAGGAGAGAAAACAAAAAAGGUAAGUAAAAUAUAUAGUAUGGUAGAUAAUGAAUGGUAUGGGCUGAAGGAGAAACAAAGAAAGAAGUUAGGUAGCACUGAGAGGAAGGGCGGUUUGCAAUUUAGGUAA
This 1076-nucleotide long non-coding RNA is filed under the name Callithrix jacchus (white-tufted-ear marmoset). RNAcentral describes it as "lncRNA (ENSCJAG00000083576.1)". The record is from RNAcentral. Lineage: Eukaryota; Metazoa; Chordata; Mammalia; Primates; Cebidae.